RNAcentral lists this ribosomal RNA (771 nucleotides) under uncultured Vagococcus sp. Its description in RNAcentral is "bacterial SSU rRNA". It matches the Rfam family "Bacterial small subunit ribosomal RNA", at positions 28 to 776 of the family's 1533-position model. Lineage: Bacteria; Bacillati; Bacillota; Bacilli; Lactobacillales; Enterococcaceae. The record is from RNAcentral.
GACGAACGCUGGCGGCGUGCCUAAUACAUGCAAGUCGAACGCACGAAGUUGAAGAGCUUGCUCUUUAACCAAGUGAGUGGCGGACGGGUGAGUAACACGUGGGUAACCUGCCCAUUAGAGGGGGAUAACAUUCGGAAACGGAUGCUAAUACCGCAUAGUUUCAGGAAUCGCAUGAUUCUUGAAGGAAAGGUGGCUUCGGCUACCACUAAUGGAUGGACCCGCGGCGUAUUAGCUAGUUGGUGAGGUAAUGGCUCACCAAGGCAAUGAUACGUAGCCGACCUGAGAGGGUGAUCGGCCACACUGGGACUGAGACACGGCCCAGACUCCUACGGGAGGCAGCAGUAGGGAAUCUUCCGCAAUGGACGAAAGUCUGACGGAGCAACGCCGCGUGAGUGAAGAAGGUUUUCGGAUCGUAAAACUCUGUUGUUAAAGAAGAACAAGGAUGAGAGUAGCUGCUCAUCCCCUGACGGUAUUUAACCAGAAAGCCACGGCUAACUACGUGCCAGCAGCCGCGGUAAUACGUAGGUGGCAAGCGUUGUCCGGAUUUAUUGGGCGUAAAGCGAGCGCAGGCGGUUCUUUAAGUCUGAUGUGAAAGCCCCCGGCUCAACCGGGGAGGGUCAUUGGAAACUGGAGAACUUGAGUGCAGAAGAGGAGAGUGGAAUUCCACGUGUAGCGGUGAAAUGCGUAGAUAUGUGGAGGAACACCAGUGGCGAAGGCGACUCUCUGGUCUGUAACUGACGCUGAGGCUCGAAAGCGUGGGGAGCAAACAGG